RNAcentral lists this ribosomal RNA (423 nucleotides) under uncultured prokaryote. Its description in RNAcentral is "bacterial SSU rRNA". It matches the Rfam family "Bacterial small subunit ribosomal RNA", at positions 355 to 796 of the family's 1533-position model. The record is from RNAcentral.
UGGGGAAUCUUGGACAAUGGGGGCAACCCUGAUCCAGCGACGCCGCGUGGGUGGUAAGGCCUUCGGGUUGUAAAGCCCUUUCGCCGGGGACGAUGAUGACGGUACCCGGAGAAGAAGCGCCGGCUAACUCCGUGCCAGCAGCCGCGGUAAGACGGAGGGCGCUAGCGUUGUUCGGAAUCACUGGGCGUAAAGGGCGCGUAGGCGGCGGCUUAAGUCGGAGGUGAAAGCCCAGGGCUCAACCCUGGAACGGCCUUCGAGACUGGGCUGCUCGAGACCGGAAGAGGAGGGUGGAAUACCCAGUGUAGAGGUGAAAUUCGUAGAUAUUGGGUGGAACACCAGUGGCGAAAGCGGCUCUCUGGUCCGGAUCUGACGCUGAGGCGCGAAAGCGUGGGGAGCAAACAGGAUUAGAUACCCCUGUAGUCC